Oxyura jamaicensis (ruddy duck) is the source of this 5389-nucleotide long non-coding RNA. RefSeq lists it as uncharacterized. The transcript is spliced from 4 exons. The record is from RefSeq and is a predicted model, not a curated record. Lineage: Eukaryota; Metazoa; Chordata; Aves; Anseriformes; Anatidae.
UUGUCAGAGCCCGGCGACAGCGGCGACAAAAUGGCAGGCGCGGCGGCCGCCCGGCAUGUCGGAGCCGCCGCCCGGCCGCCCCCCACAUCCCCCCCCACCCCCCCGCCGCCCACCGGUCGCUGAAAGGGAGAAGCCCGGCCCCGCUCCGCCGCUGCCACCCGGCCCGGCCCGGCCUCGCCGCCUUCCUCCCUCCUCCUCCUCCUCAGCGGCGGCGGCUCGGGAGGGGAGGACACAACAUGGCGCCGCGUCCUACUUGCGCUGCGCCGUGGCGCUGCCGACGCCAGGAGCGGCUCGGCCGGGAGGGGGGCGAAAAGGGGACCCGGCACCGGCCCGGUUUGAGGCGGCGGAGGGCGAGCGGUUCCCCCUCUCCCCCCGGCCCCCCAACAAUGAGCCCCGAGGGCCGGGCAGGGCCGCGCCUCGCCGGGGCCGGCGGCGUGUGCCGCUACGGCGGGCGGGCGGGCGCCCUCCUCCUCCUCCUCCUGCCGCCGCCGCUCGCCCAGGACUUUUUAAAGUUUAAAGAGCAGGUUACAUAAAUCUGCCCGCCUUUGUCCCCUCAGACGUCGCGCUGGCCACCGAAAAGCCGCGGGGCCGCGUUCCAGCCGCCUGCCUCCGCCCUCCCCCGGGCGCCUCCCGGAGAGCAUCUGGAGAGAGGGAGAGAGAGAGAAAGGGCGCGUUCAUGAGGACUACAAAGUUACAAAUAUGGCUCCCCAGUCUCUCCUGCCUGAUCACUGCACAGAAACGAAGACGCACUUCAAACUAAAGCCAUUCGCAACUCACUCGCAGCCUCUGCCUGCUCUCCCUGCCCAGCACCCAGUACAAAUAUUUGCGAACUAAACACGCCGGAGAGGAGCACCAACUUAUUUUUAUUUAACGCACCGCGAGCCCCCUUCAAUGCGGCUCACGCCGGCGGGGCGAGGAGCGGCCCCGGAGGUCCCCGUGCGUGUGUCCGUGUCCCCCGUCCGUGCCCCCCCCCCAUAAAGCACAAGGCGGGCGCCCCCCGAGCCCCCCGAACCGGGCACCGGGCACGGCCACGCACAGGUGUAGGAUGGAAAUGUAUGUAUACGUAACUACCUCUGUCGGCUGUGGAUGAGCUGGAAUGGAUGCACUGGACUGCUAAGCACGAAUUCUGCGGGAACGUGAGAGCUGGCAGAAAGGUCAAGAUGGAUCCAGCUUCAGGUGUGAACAAAGCUGGCCCAUGGGCUGAGGCUUCACGAAGGAAGGUCUGAUCUGGAGUUCGGUUUAAAGGCACAGGUGAAGAUCUUUGGAAAAGAACUUUCGUCAAGGAAACGGUGCCUAUAAGUAUUAAUUAAAUCUUUAUCAUGGGGGGGGGGGGGGGAGGCAGGAAUAAGUUUCUGAGAAUCUAGAGAUGCUUUUUUCUUUCCUUUUGCUUCCUCCCAAGUAAGAAUGUUUUCUUUAUAAACUGCCCCCCGUGAUAUAUCAGGGGAGACUUAUUGAAAGCUCAAAACCAAAGAGAAAUCUUUAAAGCUGUUGUUUUUUACCCUCUGCCCCAUGCAUGUAUACCUUGCUUGUAUUGCAAAGGUUUUAGAAGUCUUAAAAACUGCUGGAAGAACUAAAAAUGCAUGGGAAAUAUUCCAAAGGUCAAAUAUCAAAGUGCCAUCUCGCAAUGGUACAUGCGUUGUAACUAACAUCUUUGCAGAGUAUAGCUUUUCUUUUCUUAAAAACAAACAGUUUUAAUGCCCGGUCAGCUUUUUGGUUUUACUUUUGGGAUAUGAGAAAAAGUAAAUCUGCUUCAAAAUUGUUAUGACUGUGCCAUGGGAAUUCAGUUUUGUUCUCUCUGUAAUAGAGCAAGAAUGUGUUACAUCUUGAUGAAGCAAUACAAAGUCUUACUUGGGGAAUUCUCAUUGUCUGUUUCUAUGAAUAAAGCAAUCAACUCUAUCUGUUCUAGAUGUCGUUGAUUAGAAAUACUGCCUACUGACAAAAUGUGUGAAAUCCUCUCUUGUCAGAGUCCUUGUCAGAGCUGAGCAGCAAAAGUGAUCUGAGCUCUGCUUACGAUGGUGGGAAACUAGUCUUGAGGAUCCCUGGUCAGUCUCCUGUUGGAAGAUGAAAAUGUUCCCUUCUGGCUUUUAAAGUUUGGGUACCAAGAAGUUAGUAUUGUGACUAAUCACCGCAAUCACUACAGUUAAUACUUGAUUUUGUUUGUGGAUUACCUGUUUUCCAAUUUCUUUGUUGCUCAACGUAAUGUGUUGUUAAUUAUAUGACCAGCAGAUUCUAAAUACAGGUUUACACGUAAAAGCUGAUCACACGUCAGAAUCCUGGGCACACAUCAAAAAUGCUAAAGACAUUUACUGUAGAAGAAGCUGUUCAUUUGUUGCUGAGCCCGAGUUAAGUUUUUGUGAACUUCUGUCUGAUUAUCUUCGAGGCAUUUUCUGAUCUAGCAUUUAAAAACUCUUUAGUGUUAACUACAUUUGUCCCAUUGGGCAAUUUCAUCCAGGUUUUGUUUUGCUAUGGAUGGUCCCCCCCCUUCUUUUUUUUAAAGCUUGAAAUGCCAUUAUAUCCAUCUAAUUUUAACAAAAGUUUAAUAUGAAGGGCUACUGUACAUCUAGUGCGUGCAUCUCAUAAAUCCCGGGAGGAUUUCCCUUGUCUCUAACAUCAUCGGAUAGUUGAGCAUUUGCUAAGAAGAGCUGCCGAUUGUUCUUUUGCCUCUGAUAAUACUCCUUUGUAUAUCUGCUGGUAUCUUGUUUGUUCCUGUUGCAUCUACACAAUGCGUUCCUUCAUGUUUUGUGUAACAUCUUCAGUCCUUUUUUGUACGUAGAUACAGCAACAUGGAAGAGGAAAUUCUGUUCUUAAAUGCUCCCUCUUCCUGCCCUUACUUCUCCACCCCCAACCCCUCCAGUGUAGCUGGAAAAUGGGUCAUGAAGGGGAAUUGAGAGCAAUAUUGAUCACCGGUACCCAGAGUUCUGGGGAAAAGGGACAAAAAUGAGCAUGGGGAAACUGCGUGUGUUCUGACAACAUAAACUGAUGCUUUGAGACUCUAAAUCAACAUGGGAGUGCUAUAGGUUAGAAAAAUAAAUGAAGACUUCAAGUCAUUGGCUGAAAAAGCACCAAAGCUUACUGCCAUGGUGAGAGGCUUCGAUGUUGGUGGUGUGCCUUUUGUCUCUUGGUUGUUUAAAUUUCUCCUAACAGUGGUUAGCAACGUGCGAGCAGAGCGGUCAAGUCUAAACCAGAAGGGUUUUUGCCUAAUAUUAUUUACUCUCCUUUUUUUUUUAAUGUAAUCGCUCUUUUGAGUUAGGCGAUUUAAAGCAAUAUAUCGUCCAGUGCUGACUGCUGGGGCUGUUGUAUAACUCCUCUGGCAUAUGAGUGAUUCCCAUUGAUUUCUGCGUUAAUUGUUUGCAAAUGUUACAUUUUUUGUCACAAUAUUUUGUUUUCUAGCAAUGUUUCAAGAGAUAAGAACUGAGGAAAGGUAAUUUAAAGCCAAGUAUUUAAUGGGAAGUAGUUGUUUUAAGUUACCAAACUGAGAAGAGAUGAGUACUUGUUACAUCUCAAAACUGGCUUUGUUCCCCCUAAGCGUAGUGUAGACUGUUCCCUCCCGUUUUAUUCGCACAAUACCAGGCAUACUAGUGGAACCUAGGAAUUAAUAAUGUUUAGCAGGACGAGGAAAGAAAUGAAGUUUCACACGGUUUUGCUGAUUUACAGCCAUAGGCAGAUCAAUACACGCCCAUAAACCUUCCAUAACUUGUACACCAUUUUUUACAACAGUUUUCUGCAGGUCUUUCUGCAACCAUUUUUUUUCUCUGGUUUCUGGCUGCCAAAUAAGUUUUCUAUUUCUUGUACAAGCCACUUGGCGGACUUGUGCUAAUAAGAGAGGGUUCAGAUGAGUUUCACCGGUGCGUUUAGCAGCAGAUACAUUACAUAUUUUCUCUUUUUGUGGAAAGAACACUUAAUGGAUACUCCUCAGGUUAUCCCUCAGUGUUGGACAGGUGAUCAAGCUAUUUAUUCCUCACGUAAACUGGUGUAUUCCUGUGCAUUUAUCUUCUGAAGCAUUAAGCCUUUUAUUUUAAAGGUACGCUGACAUCAUUACAAAUCAGAGCUUUGUGUCUUUGAUACUUCGUAUUACUGCAAGGAAGAUUCCUGUACAGAGUUUAACAAAUGUUGUUCAGUUUGUGAAGAGCAAUGGCUCCAAUUUUUGCGUGCAUAUUACUUGUUUUGUACAUAAAUAUCCAGCCAUUCCAAUUGCUGUUGGUCUUCCUUUUCCAAGCUGUCCUAUCCAUAACCAACUUCAGAAGUCUUGUAAAAUCUCAUGAAUUAGACAUUUAUAAGCUAAAGAUAUUAGACUUUCAGGAUAAUUUUGGGGGAAAAGAUGUGUAUAAUAUGGGUUGAAGACAUAGCAUAGCUUUGUAGUCAAAUGAGUAGGCCAUGCAGCUUCCCUGGGCCAUUUGUGGAGAAUCAAAGUGCAAUAACUUGUUAGCUGUGAUGUGAGGGGUUAAAAAUAAAAUCAUGUUUUAUUUCUAAGCUGUCGUAAAUCUGCGUGUUGGUCAGCAGAGAAACAAGAAAAGAACUCGAGAUUCUCGCACCAUCCCAAUAAAACUCUUUUGCAAAAGCUGGUGAACUCGGCUGCGAUAUGGUAGAAUAAAACAGAAGCAGGAAGGAAAAAUCUCACUUUUUGGUACAAAAAGUUCAAGAAUGUGACGUAUCGAAAUUCAAAGCUAAAAAUGUGUUAAUAUAUUUUGAAACUAAGGUGGAAAACUAGGUGAAUGAUGAUGUCAAAAUGAAACAGUAUGAAAUAAAGCUGAUUGAAGGCAGUUUGCAGGAGUGAUUUAGUAGUUCCUGAAGAUGAUGAGACAUCUGGAGAACUCUGAAAAUACAAAAUUCAGAGAUUCUUGUCAAAGCCUUUAUCCAUGUGUGUUGGGAUAAGAAGAAAGUUUUUGUUCAGCUUUUUUUUUUUAAAAAAAAAAGUGAGUUUAGAGCAACAGGAAGGUGAUGUCAGGUAUUUAUAAGGCCUGCACACCAAGAGUGUGAUGCAGUUGAAGCUAAAGGAGCCUUGAUCCCCUAGGACUUAGGGAUAACUUCAGGAGCAUUUGACGAGUUCUACUCUAUUCAUGGGGAGGAAAAAAGGCAAUGUACUUGCAGUUUUUAUACUUUACUGAAUGAUUAGGUUUUGAUUUAGCAGAAGUACCUCAGAAGAACAGAGUCUAUUUUUUUUUUCUUGCGCUCAAAAUAAGAAGCACCUACUGUAGAAAGAGCGUAUUGUAUGAAAUUUGCUGCAGUGGAUGUGAGAGCUUUCAAGUCUGACAGUUUAAGUAGUGAAGAUGAAAGUGAGGACAGUUCUUGGGCAGGGGACUUCAAGAGGAAUGUGAUUCAUGGGACACAGUGACUAGCGUAAUUACCAGUGCAGCUGCUGUAGUAACUUCUGCCAGUACUAAAAAAAAAA